UACAGAGGUCCCAAGCGUUGUUCGGAUUCACUGGGCGUAAAGGGUGCGUAGGCGGUCGGGUAAGUUUGAUGUGAAAUCUCACAGCUUAACUGUGAAACUGCAUUGGAUACUAUCCGGCUAGAGGAAUGGAGGGGAGACUGGAAUACUUGGUGUAGCAGUGAAAUGCGUAGAUAUCAAGUGGAACACCAGUGGCGAAGGCGAGUCUCUGGACAUUUCCUGACGCUGAGGCACGAAAGCCAGGGGAGCAAACGGG
Molecule: ribosomal RNA, 253 nt
Filed under: uncultured bacterium
Lineage: Bacteria
Description: partial 16S ribosomal RNA
Rfam family: Bacterial small subunit ribosomal RNA
Source: RNAcentral